GUGGGUAUAGCUUAGUGGUAGAGCACAUGCAUAGCAUGCAUGAGGUUCUGGGUUCAAUCCCCAGUACCUCCA
This 72-nucleotide transfer RNA is filed under the name Camelus bactrianus (Bactrian camel). It matches the Rfam family "tRNA". From Rfam's summary of the family: Transfer RNA (tRNA) molecules are approximately 80 nucleotides in length. Their secondary structure includes four short double-helical elements and three loops (D, anti-codon, and T loops). RNAcentral also lists the same sequence under 2 other names. Lineage: Eukaryota; Metazoa; Chordata; Mammalia; Artiodactyla; Camelidae. The record is from Rfam by way of RNAcentral.